RNAcentral lists this ribosomal RNA (253 nucleotides) under uncultured bacterium. RNAcentral describes it as "partial 16S ribosomal RNA". It matches the Rfam family "Bacterial small subunit ribosomal RNA", at positions 524 to 776 of the family's 1533-position model. The record is from RNAcentral.
UACGUAGGGCGCAAGCGUUGUCCGGAAUUAUUGGGCGUAAAGAGCUCGUAGGCGGUUUGUCGCGUCGGAUGUGAAAGCCCGGGGCUUAACCCCGGGUCUGCAUUCGAUACGGGCAGACUAGAGUGUGGUAGGGGAGAUCGGAAUUCCUGGUGUAGCGGUGAAAUGCGCAGAUAUCAGGAGGAACACCCGUGGCGAAAGCGGCUCUCUGGGACGGUACUGACGCUGAGACGCGAAAGCGUGGGGAGCAAACAGG